This 165-nucleotide non-coding RNA is filed under the name uncultured Stichotrichia. The record is from RNAcentral. Lineage: Eukaryota; Ciliophora; Spirotrichea.
UGAUGGAAGAGACUUUUCAAGUAGGAAGUCAUGAAAGUCGUCGACCGAUGGUUACAGUGACGAAUUUCACAUCCUCUUCGCAUUUCGGAAAUCAGCAAAUGCAGCAUGGAUAUGAACGAGGUGAUUUAUCUACUGUGUCAAGUUCGACGGGAGAUGACUUCGUAG